This 253-nucleotide ribosomal RNA is filed under the name uncultured bacterium. RNAcentral's name for it is "partial 16S ribosomal RNA". It matches the Rfam family "Bacterial small subunit ribosomal RNA", at positions 524 to 776 of the family's 1533-position model. The record is from RNAcentral.
UACGUAGGGGGCAAGCGUUGUCCGGAAUUAUUGGGCGUAAAGGGCUCGUAGGCGGUUCGUCACGUCGGGAGUGAAAACUCGGGGCUUAACCCCGAGCCUGCUUCCGAUACGGGCAGACUAGAGGUAGGCAGGGGAGAGCGGAAUUCCUGGUGUAGCGGUGAAAUGCGCAGAUAUCAGGAGGAACACCGGUGGCGAAGGCGGAUCUCUGGGCCUUACCUGACGCUGAGGCGCGAAAGCUAGGGGAGCGAACAGG